GGGAUGCGUUCGAAAUAGCGCCGCUGGAGUCGACGCGUGCUGCAGACUUCGUCCCCGUGGCUGGACUCUGAGAGCGGUAACUAACGGCAGUGAACACGUCAUCAUUGAUUCCCAAGUUGUGGUAUCAUCCAGAGAUCGCGGUACCACACCAAAGUCGGCAUGGCGCAUUGAUAUGACAGAUAUUAGCGAUGUAUUACUGCACUCUACAUCGACAAAUGGGAGAUGCUCCUGAAGACACAUCCCCUCUCUCAGCACAGCAGCGACCUCACACGGAGUCCAAGGAGCUAUCUCCAAGAGCAAUCAAAGAACCCACAUUUAUGGCUGGACGAUUGUAGUUUCGUCUGGUCAUAACAAUAGUGUAACGAUAGCAAGAAUGAGACUUUUUUCGAAAUCAUCUAUGGACGUCGUGACUUUAAAUGUCAGU
This is a long non-coding RNA of Schistocerca piceifrons (Central American locust), 424 nucleotides long. RefSeq lists it as uncharacterized. The transcript is spliced from 3 exons. NCBI's taxonomy places the organism in Eukaryota, Metazoa, Arthropoda, Insecta, Orthoptera, Acrididae. The record is from RefSeq and is a predicted model, not a curated record.